UGCAAGUCGAGCGGAAACGAGUUAACUGAACCUUCGGGGGACGUUAACGGCGUCGAGCGGCGGACGGGUGAGUAAUGCCUGGGAAAUUGCCCUGAUGUGGGGGAUAACCAUUGGAAACGAUGGCUAAUACCGCAUAAUAGCUUCGGCUCAAAGAGGGGGACCUUCGGGCCUCUCGCGUCAGGAUAUGCCCAGGUGGGAUUAGCUAGUUGGUGAGGUAAAGGCUCACCAAGGCGACGAUCCCUAGCUGGUCUGAGAGGAUGAUCAGCCACACUGGAACUGAGACACGGUCCAGACUCCUACGGGAGGCAGCAGUGGGGAAUAUUGCACAAUGGGCGCAAGCCUGAUGCAGCCAUGCCGCGUGUAUGAAGAAGGCCUUCGGGUUGUAAAGUACUUUCAGUCGUGAGGAAAGGUGUGUAGUUAAUAACUGCAUCAUUUGACGUUAGCGACAGAAGAAGCACCGGCUAACUCCGUGCCAGCAGCCGCGGUAAUACGGAGGGUGCGAGCGUUAAUCGGAAUUACUGGGCGUAAAGCGCAUGCAGGUGGAUGAUUAAGUCAGAUGUGAAAGCCCGGGGCUCAACCUCGGAAUAGCAUUUGAAACUGGUCAUCUAGAGUACUGUAGAGGGGGGUAGAAUUUCAGGUGUAGCGGUGAAAUGCGUAGAGAUCUGAAGGAAUACCGGUUGGCGAAGGCGGCCCCCUGGACAGUACUGACACUCAGAUGCGAAAGCGUGGGGAG
RNAcentral lists this ribosomal RNA (733 nucleotides) under Vibrio sp. RNAcentral's name for it is "bacterial SSU rRNA". It matches the Rfam family "Bacterial small subunit ribosomal RNA", at positions 56 to 768 of the family's 1533-position model. Lineage: Bacteria; Pseudomonadati; Pseudomonadota; Gammaproteobacteria; Vibrionales; Vibrionaceae. The record is from RNAcentral.